GCAUAGAUGAAUUCUGCAUUGGCUUCUUUAGUAGCUAAUGCAGUCAGACACUAUGCUAUAUUAUAUUUCCUUUUAACUUAUUCCUAAACGGUAUGCUCUGUGUAAAGUUAGCAUAUCCAUGCAAGAAGGAUACACGA
Molecule: small nucleolar RNA, 137 nt
Organism: Pelodiscus sinensis (Chinese soft-shelled turtle)
Lineage: Eukaryota; Metazoa; Chordata; Testudines; Trionychidae
Product: small nucleolar RNA SNORA15
Source: Ensembl